UCCCAAAGUGCUGGAGUUACAGAUGUGAGCCUCUGUGCUCAGCCCAUCCUUGGCUGUUCAAGUGUAGAGAAAUUGCCACUCCCUCUCCAGCCCUCAGCAACCACCACCUCGAUCAGUCACUAGCUAUCAACAUUGAGACAAGACCAUCCAGCAGCAAAAUGAUGAUGACUUACUGAAGGCCCAGAUGAUGGUUAGCAUUUUUUGGCAAUCACGUAUUUUCAAAGUCCAGUGUCUGAUUCUUUUGGGAAGCUGGAUAUGAAGUCAGAAUCUUUCUUUGAGUCAUACAUUUUCAUGAUUAUGAUUAUUAUUGAAUGAUAGCUGGCAAUUAUUGAGAGCAAUUAUUGAGGACAAUUAUUGAGCUUUCACAAGCCCUUUUCAAAGGUCUUUACAUAUAUUUUCUCCACUUCUAACUGUUAGAUAUUCUUAUUAUUCCCAUUUUGUAGAUGAGGGAUACACAGGCAUAAAGCCUAUGUGGAGGCAGAGAGCAGCUACGUAACCUGACUAUGGCCCAACAGCAAACAAAUGAUGGGGCCACAUGCAAAUCCAGGCAGAACCCUUCUAUUAUAUGAAGCUCAAUGUUUUCUUGUUUGCAGCUUGUUAUGAAUACCUCUAUUUGCAAAUGGGUUUUGAAGCUACUUUAAAACAUUUUGUGGCUGUGCGUGGUGGCUGGCACCUGUAAUCCCAGCAUUAUGGGAAACCAAGGUGGGCAGAUUGCCUGAGCUCAGGAGUUUGAGACCAACCUGGCCAACAUGGUGAAACCCUGUGCCUACUAAAAAUACAAAAAAAUUAGCCAGGUGUGUUGGUGUGCACCUGUAAUCCCAGCUACUCUGGAGGGUGAGGCAGGAGAAUCACUUGAACCCAGGAGAGGAAGGUUGCAGUAAGCUGAGAUCAUGCCACUGAACUCCAGCCUGGGCAACAGAGUGAGAUUCUGUCUCCAAAUAAAAAAUAAAUAAGAUUGAAUUUUGAGCUCCUGACCAUGUCCCUAGAUUGUGCUCAUAUGUAUUUUGAUGUCUAAUAAGAUUUAUUCUCAGUGCAUUUUUUAAGUGAAAGUAUUUAUUGAGCAUCUACUGUAUAUCAUGUGCUGAGAUAGGCACCAGUGGUGCAGGGAACAUAUGGCACAGUCUCUGACCUCAGGUAACUUUCACUCUCAUACAUAUGUAUUAGGACACCAACACAUGUGUGAAUAUAAGAUAGUAUGAUAGAUAUUGCAACAAGUAAUUAUUUACUGUAAACCUAUUUUAUAGGAUUUUAAACUUAAACUACUUUCACCCUAUUUCCAAAAAAAAGUAUUGCAUAACUUUAAAUAGAUUCUCAGUUUGAAAUCAUCAUACAAACUGCAGUAGCAUCUGCUGGUGAAAUACUGCUUUGUAUCUAUUAGAAUAGUCCAAACAAUUGGGAGACAACUGCAUUAUUAGAGCUGUAAAAGUUAUUGUCUAGAAAUCUCAGAGAAGAAGAGGAAGUUCUAUGGUAGAUGAAUAAGAUGACAUCUAAACUGUUCUCUUCAGCUACUGAAGUUCUGUGGAUAUCUCACAGCACAAAGUUCAAGUGUAUGCCCACAGCUCCUCAUGCCACAAGAUGUGACACCUUUCCAAUCUCUUUUUGCAAAAGUUUCCAAUUAUGUCUCUUUUAAGAGUACUUUUUAUACCCACAUAUUCCGGAUUUUGUGGUGCACGCAAAGACAAGAUGGGAAGGGGCUUCCAUUUAUUGAUGCCAGCUGCUCCAUGGACCAGGCCCUGCCCAUGCAUCCAUGUUGGUUCUUUUAUCCCCACAUCAGCCAUAGCCCAUAAGCAUUAACUGCCAUUGCACAGAUGAGGAAAUUGAAAGUCUAAGAGAAUAUGCAAUCUACCCAGAGUCAUGCAGCUUGUGUAUGUAAGGUUUGGAAUGAAAAUCCAAUCUGUGUGAGUCUCAAGUCCCCUUCCACCAUAUGGUUUCCAUUUCAUUUUGCAAUCAGAUUGGCUGGGAUAUGUCUGCCCUAAAAGAUAGUAAGUAGGAAUAUUUGUCUCUAUACCUUAACCUGACAUCCAUGGGCUUGCUUUUUGUAUUUGGAGGUGUCAUAACAUUAUAAUAAUAAUUUGAUUUUAUUUGUACAGUGGAUAUUAUACUACUCAGUCUAGAGAUUUAUGACAUCCCAGUCUAAACUGGAUGAUAGCAAUGAAGCUUCUUCAAGGAGACAAGUAUGAGUAAUAAGGUAGUAAUAAGCUGAAUUUCUAUGGAGUUGCUACUUCUGAAUUAAAACUAGUUGAGAUUAAGUAGAUAUUCAAAAAUAUUGCUAUAAUCUUCACUUGAAUAAUACAAACAUUUAUUAUUUUUACAUAUUUAUUUAUUUAUGGAACAUAAUUUUAAAACAGAAUAUUUUCAAAUUGUAUUAAAAUAUAUUAAAAACAUAAUACAUUAUCACCCAAUAGAGUUUUUCAAAGUAACUCAGUGUUAGUUUAAAAUGUGAAAUUCAAUCAACAUAAUUCACCAUAGAAUACAGUGUGUAUGUCAGUAUAAUAUAUAUAUCAAAAUUGGAAAGCAGUAAAUUUAUCUUUGUUUUGUAAUAAGAUGAAAUUAAAAUUUUAAUGAAUUUCAACUUUCAUUUUAGAUUUCGGAGGGUACCUUUGCAGGUUUAUUACAUGGGUGUAUUGUGUGAUGCUGAGAUUUGGGGUAUGAAUGAAAGUGUGAGUGCCUGUUUUGAACUUGCACCGAGAGCAAUCUCCCCUGAUCAGCAGAGGGUAAACUAACUUGAAUUACACUUGAAUUUUUUAGUAGAGCAGGUCACAAAGGGCAAAUUGUAGUCCAGAGACAAAAGUGCUCAGUGGUCUAAAAUGAGCCUGCCAUAUCACUGAGGGUACAGGUCUUCACAGAAAUAUAUUUCAGAAAGACGUCAAACCUUUGUUUAAAGAUAAAUGUAAGCUGGGUGUGGAGGCACACGUCUAUAAUUCCAGCUACUCAGGAGGCUGAGGCAGGAGGAUCCCUUGAGUUCAGGAGUUUAAGACCAGCCUGGACAACAUAGGAAGAUCCCAUCUCAAUUUUUUAAAAUGAGAAAAAAAUAGAUAAACUUAAACAUAUUAAAAUUUUAAAGAGUUUAUUUAAGCAAACAGAGAUUCAUGGAUCAGGCAGCUCCAAACUGAAAGUGGUUGGAGGAUCUACUGGAGGUGUUUGUAAGGAAGGCUUUUACAGGGUGAAUAUAGAAGUAAAGUAGAGAAAUUAUUUGAUUGGCAAAAAUGUGGGCAGUUGCAUUAUUUGAACUAUCCUGGUGGUAGGUCUCUCAUUACCCAGCUAAUACUCGGCAGGCCACCUGUGGGUGGGCUAAGCUUGUUUCAUUUUGUCUAUGCAGGAACCCUGGCCAUGGGAGCUAUCUCAGCCUAAUGCUCUCCCAUUAUGAAAUUUUACACCUUCUUUCUGUAUCAGGGUAAGUGGGGAUCUUCCCCAGGAGGGUUCUUACCACCCUGUUUCCCUCAGCAAAAUGAAACUGUCCCUUUUGCCUCUGUAGGCAAUCUUCUGAACAAGGCAUUCCUAAUAUUCUUAUCUCAUCUUAUUUUAUCUUAUCCUCUUCUCUGUACCUUGUUUACAUGCUUCUGGAACACUUGUGUGUCUUGCACCCAUCUCCUGCAUUAUUUAGGCAAUCCUAACAGAAGGCCGCUAGGAUGGAUUGGAAGAGAACUGCUGGCAUAUUGAGCCCUCUCUCUUUGUAUCUGGAACUUUCAUAAUUACCUUAGUUCUCCAUGCCAAUUUUGCACUUAUCUUUGUUCUCCACUUCAAAAUACAUUUACCUCUGACAGCAGCUGAGUUCAUAAAAGGGAACUAGUCCAGUGGUACUUAUGAGGCAGGAGACAUGAUAUAGUUAAAAUUAUAAACUAUAAUCACUAUAUAGUUAUAUAUUAUAUAUAAUCACUAUAUCACUCCAGGGUUGAAGUGAUACUCCUGCCUCAGCCUCCUGAGUAGCUGGGAUUACAGGCAUGUGCCACCACACUCGAAUAAUCGUAUAUGUUUUAAAAUAGGAAUAGAUUUUCUCAGCUAAACGGAAGGGAAAUGCUAAGGAAAGAGUGAGAUUUGACUUGAUAAUUAUGUUUCUGAAUGAAUCAGCCAAUUAAUAAAAUGAAAACAGGCCAGGACAGUGGUGCAUGCCAGUCAUCCCAGCAAUUUGGGAGGCCAAGGUGGACAGAUCACUUGAGUCCAAGAGUUUGAGACAAGCCUGAGCAACAUAUCAAAACCCCGUCUCUACAAAAAAUACAAAAAUUAGCCAGGUGUGGUGGCUCAUGCCUGUAGUCCCUGCUACUUGGGAGGCUGAGGUAGGAGGAUCACCUGAGCCUGGAGAUGUAGAGGCUGCAAUGAGCUGUGAUCAUGCCACUGCACUUCCAGCCUGGGUGACACAGUGAGACCCUGUCCCAAAGAAACUAAACUAAAA
Molecule: long non-coding RNA, 4390 nt
Filed under: Homo sapiens (human)
Lineage: Eukaryota; Metazoa; Chordata; Mammalia; Primates; Hominidae
Description: HSALNT0352135
Source: RNAcentral